Molecule: ribosomal RNA, 128 nt
Filed under: Escherichia coli
Lineage: Bacteria; Pseudomonadati; Pseudomonadota; Gammaproteobacteria; Enterobacterales; Enterobacteriaceae
Description: partial 23S ribosomal RNA
Rfam family: Bacterial large subunit ribosomal RNA (bases 1-110)
Source: RNAcentral
CUUUAAGGGUCCUGAAGGAACGUUGAAGACGACGACGUUGAUAGGCCGGGUGUGUAAGCGCAGUGAUGCGUUGAGCUAACCGGUACUAAUGAACCGUGAGGCUUAACCUUACAACGCCGAAGGUGUUU